GAUGAAGAACGUAGCGAAAUGCGAUAAGUAAUGUGAAUUGCAGAAUUCAGUGAAUCAUCGAAUCUUUGAACGCACAUUGCGCCCCUUGGUAUUCCGAGGGGCAUGCCUGUUCGAGCGUCAUUAUAACCCCUCAAGCUCAGCUUGGUGUUGGGGCCUGCUGCACUGGCAGCCCUUAAAAUCAGUGGCGGCGCCAUCUGGCUCUAAGCGUAGUAAUUCUUCUCGCUAUGGAGUCCUGGUGGAUGCUUGCCAUCAACCCCCAAUUUUUCUAUGGUUGACCUCGGAUCAGGUAGGGAUACCCGCUGAACUUAAGCAUAUCAAUAAGGGAGGA
Molecule: unclassified non-coding RNA, 328 nt
Filed under: soil metagenome
Description: partial contains 5.8S ribosomal RNA, internal transcribed spacer 2, and large subunit ribosomal RNA
Rfam family: 5.8S ribosomal RNA (bases 1-120)
Source: RNAcentral